GGCCCUCAAUUAUCCCCGUGGACGAAUGAACUUGCUGGAUGCCCUUAGCUUCGGCCAGUGGCCAGGAAAUGGCCCAGCGCCGAAGCCUGUGCACGUUUGGCCCCUAGGCAAUGUGGUGUUCUCGUUAGCUGACUAAGAUGAUGCUCCACCCUAAGUCCUAUAGUGAGUAAGGUUACUCGGACAUGGCCCAAUGAGGGUGAAAGGCCCGUGGGGGUGGAGAUUCAGAAUGGCCAGUAUCUUCCUGACCGAACCUUGGAAUCAGGUAGUUUGGGAAUGCAGCCCAAAGCGGGUGGUAAACUCCAUCCAAGGCUAAAUCCUAUCCCGAGUCCGAUAACGAACAAAUACCGUGAUGGAAAUUUCAACCCCCCUUUGAAUAUAGAGUAAACAGUGCGUGAAACCGUUCACAGGUAAACAGGUGGAGUUGAACUGCAAGCUCUGAGGAUUCAGAUGGUGAGUAUGGCAUGAGCUUGGUCAUAUUGGAUGUGUGCUCGGUUCUGCUUUGCUGCAUUUCUCCGCUUCGGUGGGGAUGCGCGAAUCACUCAUCAGGUGUUGUGUUCCCGGGUACUGACGGAGCUGCUUGUCAGUGCACUUUCUCAGAAAAA
This 602-nucleotide ribosomal RNA is filed under the name Fasciola gigantica. RNAcentral describes it as "eukaryotic LSU rRNA". It matches the Rfam family "Eukaryotic large subunit ribosomal RNA", at positions 1 to 519 of the family's 3401-position model. The record is from RNAcentral. Lineage: Eukaryota; Metazoa; Platyhelminthes; Trematoda; Plagiorchiida; Fasciolidae.